CCUACGGGAGGCAGCAGUCGAGAAUCAUUCACAAUGGGGGAAACCCUGAUGGUGCGACGCCGCGUGGGGGAAUGAAGGUCUUCGGAUUGUAAACCCCUGUCAUGUGGGAGCAAAUUAAAAAGAUAGUACCACAAGAGGAAGAGACGGCUAACUCUGUGCCAGCAGCCGCGGUAAUACAGAGGUCUCAAGCGUUGUUCGGAAUCACUGGGCGUAAAGCGUGCGUAGGCUGUUUCGUAAGUCGUGUGUGAAAGGCGCGGGCUCAACCCGCGGACGGCACAUGAUACUGCGAGACUAGAGUAAUGGAGGGGGAACCGGAAUUCUCGGUGUAGCAGUGAAAUGCGUAGAUAUCGAGAGGAACACUCGUGGCGAAGGCGGGUUACUGGACAUUAACUGACGCUGAGGCACGAAGGCCAGGGGAGCGAAAGGGAUUAGAUACCCCAGUAGUC
Molecule: ribosomal RNA, 446 nt
Filed under: uncultured bacterium
Lineage: Bacteria
Description: partial 16S ribosomal RNA
Rfam family: Bacterial small subunit ribosomal RNA
Source: RNAcentral